Molecule: ribosomal RNA, 461 nt
Filed under: uncultured bacterium
Lineage: Bacteria
Description: bacterial SSU rRNA
Rfam family: Bacterial small subunit ribosomal RNA
Source: RNAcentral
AACGAACGCUGGCGGCAUGCCUAACACAUGCAAGUCGAACGAGACCUUCGGGUCUAGUGGCGCACGGGUGCGUAACGCGUGGGAAUCUGCCCCUCGGUUCGGAAUAACACAGAGAAAUUUGUGCUAAUACCGGAUAAUGACUUCGGUCCAAAGAUUUAUCGCCGAGGGAUGAGCCCGCGUAAGAUUAGCUUGUUGGUGGGGUAAUGGCCUACCAAGGCGACGAUCUUUAGCUGGUCUGAGAGGAUGAUCAGCCACACUGGGACUGAGACACGGCCCAGACUCCUACGGGAGGCAGCAGUGGGGAAUAUUGCACAAUGGGCGAAAGCCUGAUGCAGCAACGCCGCGUGAGCGAGGAAGGCCUUUGGGUCGUAAAGCUCUGUCGAGGAGGAAGAUAAAUGACGGUACUCCUCGAGGAAGCCCCGGCUAACUACGUGCCAGCAGCCGCGGUAAGAGUCACGUCG